AUGGCAACAGCAAUCGGUCCAUGCUCUGAUGCAGAGGACCUGUUGGCUUCCAUCCACCUCGAGAGGUAUCUGGACCACUUCCGUCAGGCAGGCUUUCUCCUCGCCCGAGACUUCUGUCAUGUGGACAGUGUGGCUCUGAACAGGGUGGGAGUCACUGCCACCGGCCACAGGAAGCGUAUCCUCAAACUAGUCGAGCACAUUCAGCUGAUCUGUCAACAGCCCUCGCUAGAUCGCUGCAAUUCAGACUCUGCUAUUCAUGAGGUGACCCCUGUCAAAGCGCACACCAGUGUUGUAAAGCCGGUACCAAAACCAAGAACUGUCUUUCACAGACUGAGAGCAGAGAAAAUUUCUUUACCAACGCAACAUGAAGCGCAACCUCGCCAAAAGUCAUCUCAGGACUCACUUUUAAAAGUUGCACAAGGUUCAUCCUCCAGUACAGACACUGUCGAAUCAUCUACUGAAUCAAAAAAGGGCCAUUGUGAACCAGGUUUGAGUAAAAGUGAUCCGUUACCCCCAGUGCCCCCUAGGUUAAAUCGAGGAACUCCCCCAUCCACAUUCAGGAGAAUGUCGGAGCAGGAGCAGCACAAUCACUCUUCGCUCAAGCGUCUUGAUUCUCCAGGUUACUGCACUGUGGGUGAACCGUCCCCGGCCCGUCACUCAUUCUCCCUCCCUCACAACUUUGUCUCCAAUGAAACGGAUGAGGACAUCAUCUCUCCCUACGCCAGCUUCACCUCGCUGUCCGAGCGGGUGGCACCCAUCCUCAGCGGCUGGCUGGACAAGCUCUCUCCUCAAGGAAACUAUGUGUUCCAGAAGCGAUAUGUGAAGUUUGAUGGGAAGAACUUGAUGUACUAUGGUAGUGAAAAGGAUGCUUAUCCCAAAGGUGUGAUUCCCUUAGCUGCCAUACAAAUGGCCCGCGUAGCCAAAGACAAUAAAUUUGAGGUUGUCACAAGUCACAGGACAUUUGUCUUCAGAGCUGAUAAUGAUGUUCAGAGGAGCACAUGGUGCGGCACGUUGCAGGAGCGGGUCAAAGAACAGCUGGUUUUCGGCCGCUUACGUUUUGGCCCUGGCAGUCACUGCCAAAAGAACGGCUUCCUGGAGCUCAAAGGAACCAAGUCAAAGAUCUACACAGCCAUUAUAAUGGAGCAGAUCUGGUUGUACAAGAAUGAGCAGUGCUUUAAAAAUGGAAUUGGAAUUACUGUAAUUGAGGCCAGAGGAGCUACAAUUCGUGAUGGGAAGGGCAAGAGCUUUGAUCUCAUUACACCUUAUAAAACCUUCAGCUUUACGGCAGAGUCGGAGCGAGAGAAGAGGGACUGGAUAGAGGCCCUGCAGGAGUCUAUAGCGGAAACACUGUCUGAUUAUGAGGUGGCAGAGAAGAUCUGGUCCAACAGGUCCAACAAGAUCUGCGCAGACUGCAAAGCCAUCAAUCCAGACUGGGCAUCCAUCAAUCUCUGUGUGGUCAUCUGCAAGAACUGUGCAGGCCAGCAUCGAGGUCUCGGCACAAUGGUGUCGAAAGUGCAGAGUCUGAAACUAGACACCAGCGUGUGGAGCAAUGAGAUCGUCCAGCUCUUCAUAAUGCUUGGCAAUGAUAGAGCCAAUGAAUUUUGGGCGGCCAGACUUCCUGUGACUGAGGAGCUGGACUGUGACGCCUCCCCAGAGCAGCGGAAAGAGUUUAUCACCCACAAAUACAGAGAAGGCAGAUAUCGGCACCCUCAACCCAGUUUUAGCACUCAAGAGGACCUUCUUAAGGUAAUGGAUAAGCCAUUUACAUCCACAGGGGACAGAUCAUGCAAACCAAUGAUAACUUGUUUAUCAUUUAGUUUGAUUGUUUUUGUGUGUGUGUGUGUGUGUGUGUGUGUGUGUGUGUUUAAAUACCUGUUUGAUUUUAUUUAUUCAGCAGAUUUCCAAAAGUACUGGUGUUCGGUGGAGAAGUCUAUUCUCUUCUAUGAGUCUGACAGAUGUCAUGAGCCCAGUAUGAAGAUCGAUGUGAAAGACAUCAUCUGUUUAGGGGUUAGCCGGCCAGACUCCAGCAACAGCAGCGGCUUUAUUGACAAGUGGGAGCCAUUGCAUAACAGAACACAACCCGAUUUAGAGACAUCUCACCUCGGUUUUGAUCUCUGGCAGGCCACCACACCUCUCAGCUGUCACUGCCUGCUGGCGCGAGAGUUCGAGCGAGUGGGCGUCCUGCGCUACAAGGCCAUGCUAGACCCACAGCAGUGGAAAGAAGGCUUCUUUGUUCUGCAGAAGUCCAACCUGUUCAUAUGCCCUGGAAAUGAUGGAGCCGCAGAGGAUAUUAUAAACCUGAAACGCCUACAGGAGCUCAGUGAGUCUGUUAGCUCAAUCACUAAGAAGGACAUCCUGGUUCUUGUUGAGAAAGGAAGGACUCUGCAUCUGCAGGGCACGGGCAGGACUGACUUCUCCCUGUGGUACGCAGACAUUCAGAAGGCAGCAGGAGGGAAAGGGAACACCCUGAAAGACCAGCAGCUCAGCAGAAAUGACAUCCCCAUCAUCGUUGACAGCUGCAUUGCCUUUAUAACUCAGUAUGGUCUAGGCCAUGAGGGGAUAUACAGGAAAAAUGGUGCGAAGUCCAGAAUCAAGCUUUUGAUGGAGGAGUUUCGUAAGGACGCCCGCAAUGUGAAACUCCGCAUUGGAGAUAACUUCAUAGAGGACGUGACGGAUGUACUGAAAAGGUUCUUUCGGGAGAUUGAUGAUCCUAUAUUCAUGGCUGAUCUCCACCCCUUCUGGAGGGAAGCUGCCAAGAUACCUCAAAAGCCACAGCGUUUGGACCGAUACAAAGAGCUGAUUCGAGGGUUACCUCGGGUCAACAGAACGACUUUAGCAGCUCUCAUCAGUCAUCUCUACAGGGUGCAGAAGUGUGCUGAUCUCAAUCAGAUGUGCACUAAGAACCUGUCCCUGCUGUUCGCUCCCAGCCUGUUUCAGACUGAUGGGAAAGGGGAACAUGAGGUCAAAAUCAUAGAAGACCUCAUCGAUAACUACCUGUACAUAUUUGAUGAUUUGAUGUCAACAUUUAUUAUGCAAACCUCUGGUGUGGCUCUCCCACAGGUGUCUCCCACAAUGUGUGCUGAGGAGCUGACCAAUCAGGUGCUGUAUAUGAGAAAUAUUCCUGCGGGGGAAAAAGACGUGUGGAUGACCUUUGAGGCCAUUGAGGAAGGAGAGCUUGAGCGACCUCUUCACCCCAAAGAGAUGGUUCUGGAACAAGCUCUACAGUGGUGUAAGAUGGCUGAUCCCAGCUCAGCGUAUCUGGUGGUGAAGAAGGUGCCUAGAGGAGAAGCUAUUGACAUUUUCACAGGUGAAUUGCUGAAGUGUCGGGAAGAGCCGCCCAAGCUCUUGCAAGGAAACAAAUUCCAGGAGCACUCAUUUCAAAUUAAAGACCACAGACUGCUCCUGAUGAAGGACAAAAAAAGCAACAAACCUGAGAAAGAGUGGCAACUGAAAACCUUGAAGAUUUACAUGGGGAUCAGAAAGAAGUUAAAACCACCAACAAAAUGGGGAUUAACAGUGAUGCUGGAUAAACAGCAAUUGUACCUCAGCUGUUCCUGUGAGACUGAAUUAUGGGAUUGGAUGACUAAUUUACUAAAAGCACAGAAUGAUGAUUUGCGUCCACCUGUGAUGAGACGGCACUCUUCCUCUGACAUUUCCAAGCAGAAGUUUGGCACCAUGCCUCUAGUGCCCAUCAGAGGAGAGGAGAGCAAUACCAACACCACCAUGCUCUCCGCCAAUCAGACUCUGAGAAAGCUCCACACGAGAAGGGCUCUCUCAAUGUUCUUUGUAAGAGUACGCUUUACAAAAGAGCCUAUACUUAAUGGAGGAAUUCCCUUUGACUUCCUCGGUCCUUCCCCCCAUUCCUGUUGGGAACCAGGGCUUCCUGAUAUGACAGGAUGCAUUUGGAGGAAGAAAGCUUCUACUGCAUUGUUCUGCAACUGUAGCCUUGAGGGAGGGCAGGGCAGGGAGCUCGCUUCACCUCUUGUGUUUUGGGAAAAUGCCGCAGCUUCUGGUGUGUCCCAACCCAAAAGCUUGCACAAGCAAAUUGUCUGCGGGCUUCAUGCUUUUGUCCUCAAUGUAUUUGGCAAUUAUCUUGAUGGUGUCUCUCUGAUACUGAGACAAAAGUUUCAACUCAGAAAAGGAAGUAAUUUGUUUUGA
Long non-coding RNA from Cyprinus carpio (common carp), 4158 nucleotides. The record is from Ensembl. NCBI's taxonomy places the organism in Eukaryota, Metazoa, Chordata, Actinopteri, Cypriniformes, Cyprinidae.